CCUACGGGAGGCAGCAGUAGGGAAUAUUGCUCAAUGGGGGAAACCCUGAAGCAGCAACGCCGCGUGGAGGAUGAAGGUUUUCGGAUUGUAAACUCCUUUUGUUAGAGAAGAUAAUGACGGUAUCUAACGAAUAAGCACCGGCGAACGCCGUGCCAGCAGCCGCGGUAAUACGGAGGGUGCAAGCGUUACUAGGAAUCACUGGGCGUAAAGAGGGCGUAGGCGGGAUAGCAAGUCAGAUGUGAAAUCCUAUGGCUUAACCAUCGAACUGCAUUUGAAACUGUUAUUCUAGAGUAUGGGAGAGGUAGGUGGAAUUCUUGGUGUAGGGGUAAAAUCCGUAGAGAUCAAGAGGAAUACUCAUUGCGAAGGCGACCUGCUAGAACAUAACUGACGCUGAUGCGCGAAAGCGUGGGGAGCAAACAGGAUUAGAUACCCCUGUAGUC
Molecule: ribosomal RNA, 440 nt
Filed under: uncultured bacterium
Lineage: Bacteria
Description: partial 16S ribosomal RNA
Rfam family: Bacterial small subunit ribosomal RNA
Source: RNAcentral